RNAcentral lists this transfer RNA (74 nucleotides) under Cellulomonas cellasea. RNAcentral's name for it is "tRNA-Pro". It matches the Rfam family "tRNA". From Rfam's summary of the family: Transfer RNA (tRNA) molecules are approximately 80 nucleotides in length. Their secondary structure includes four short double-helical elements and three loops (D, anti-codon, and T loops). The record is from RNAcentral. Lineage: Bacteria; Bacillati; Actinomycetota; Actinomycetes; Micrococcales; Cellulomonadaceae.
CGGGACGUGGGCCAGCGGCUAGGCCUCCUGCCUUGGGAGCAGGCGAUCGAGGGUUCGAGUCCCUCCGUCCCGAC